AGCGGGGCUCCCAGGGCCUAAGAGCCCCCAGCGCCAAGGGCGCCCCGCUUCCUGCUCGCCCUCCUGGAUGCAGUGAGAGCCCCCGGGGGUCUCGUCCGGGACCCGCGAAGGAACAGCAGGACGCCCCAGGAAGGACUUCGGCUGUUUGACAUGGAUCCUGACGACUAACGAAGGGGAUGCCAAUGCCAAACUUCCCUCUGUUGUGCGACUGUUAUUUGAUCUUCUCUCAAGGGCCAGGAUCUUAGGAACAAAGACUCCCAGACAGGAAAUUGAAACGCAGAGGGAGACUGCCACAUGAUGAUGGAGUGAGGAUUCUGCAAGCCAAGGAACACAGGAAGACUGCCAGAAAACUGCCAGCAGCCAGGAGAGGGGCAGGAACCAGCCCACUCAGCUCUGAGGGGGCUCAAUCCUGCUGACAUCUUCACCUCUGACUGCCAGCAGAACUGUGGGGCAGCACGCUUCUGUUGGCUAAGGGGCCUGAUUUGAGGCGCUUCAUUAACGUGGUUCUAGAAAACUAGGGUAAUGAGAGAGACCAUAUAGCAUGGCCCUUCGUGAAGCCCGGAUUUCCGGCUCACAAAAAUAAAAAGAUGACCUGCAAGGU
Mesocricetus auratus (golden hamster) is the source of this 601-nucleotide long non-coding RNA. RefSeq lists it as uncharacterized. The transcript is spliced from 3 exons. NCBI's taxonomy places the organism in Eukaryota, Metazoa, Chordata, Mammalia, Rodentia, Cricetidae. The record is from RefSeq and is a predicted model, not a curated record.